This 482-nucleotide ribosomal RNA is filed under the name uncultured bacterium. Its description in RNAcentral is "partial 16S ribosomal RNA". It matches the Rfam family "Bacterial small subunit ribosomal RNA", at positions 29 to 507 of the family's 1533-position model. The record is from RNAcentral.
AUUGAACGCUGGCGGCAUGCUUUACACAUGCAAGUCGAACGGUAACAGGCCGCAAGGUGCUGACGAGUGGCGGACGGGUGAGUAAUGCAUCGGAACGUGCCCAGUCGUGGGGGAUAACUACUCGAAAGAGUAGCUAAUACCGCAUACGAUCUAUGGAUGAAAGCGGGGGACCGUAAGGCCUCGCGCGAUUGGAGCGGCCGAUGUCAGAUUAGGUAGUUGGUGGGGUAAAGGCUCACCAAGCCAACGAGCUGUAGCUGGUCUGAGAGGACGACCAGCCACACUGGGACUGAGACACGGCCCAGACUCCUACGGGAGGCAGCAGUGGGGAAUGUUGGACAAUGGGCGCAAGCCUGAUCCAGCAAUGCCGCGUGCAGGAAGAAGGCCUUCGGGUUGUAAACUGCUUUUGUACGGAACGAAACGGCUCUGGUUAAUACCCGGGGCUAAUGACGGUACCGGAAGAAUAAGCACCGGCUAACUACGUG